Molecule: ribosomal RNA, 1443 nt
Filed under: uncultured organism
Description: 16S ribosomal RNA
Rfam family: Bacterial small subunit ribosomal RNA
Source: RNAcentral
CAGGCUUAACACAUGCAAGUCGAGGGGCAGCAUGGUCUUAGCUUGCUAAGACUGAUGGCGACCGGCGCACGGGUGAGUAACACGUAUCCAACCUGCCGUCUACUCUUGGACAGCCUUCUGAAAGGAAGAUUAAUACAAGAUGGCAUCAUGAGUCCGCAUGUUCACAUGAUUAAAGGUAUUCCGGUAGACGAUGGGGAUGCGUUCCAUUAGAUAGUAGGCGGGGUAACGGCCCACCUAGUCUUCGAUGGAUAGGGGUUCUGAGAGGAAGGUCCCCCACAUUGGAACUGAGACACGGUCCAAACUCCUACGGGAGGCAGCAGUGAGGAAUAUUGGUCAAUGGGCGAGAGCCUGAACCAGCCAAGUAGCGUGAAGGAUGACUGCCCUAUGGGUUGUAAACUUCUUUUAUAAAGGAAUAAAGUCGGGUAUGCAUACCCGUUUGCAUGUACUUUAUGAAUAAGGAUCGGCUAACUCCGUGCCAGCAGCCGCGGUAAUACGGAGGAUCCGAGCGUUAUCCGGAUUUAUUGGGUUUAAAGGGAGCGUAGAUGGAUGUUUAAGUCAGUUGUGAAAGUUUGCGGCUCAACCGUAAAAUUGCAGUUGAUACUGGAUAUCUUGAGUGCAGUUGAGGCAGGCGGAAUUCGUGGUGUAGCGGUGAAAUGCUUAGAUAUCACGAAGAACUCCGAUUGCGAAGGCAGCCUGCUAAGCUGCAACUGACAUUGAGGCUCGAAAGUGUGGGUAUCAAACAGGAUUAGAUACCCUGGUAGUCCACACGGUAAACGAUGAAUACUCGCUGUUUGCGAUAUACAGCAAGCGGCCAAGCGAAAGCGUUAAGUAUUCCACCUGGGGAGUACGCCGGCAACGGUGAAACUCAAAGGAAUUGACGGGGGCCCGCACAAGCGGAGGAACAUGUGGUUUAAUUCGAUGAUACGCGAGGAACCUUACCCGGGCUUAAAUUGCAGAUGAAUUACGGUGAAAGCCGUAAGCCGCAAGGCAUCUGUGAAGGUGCUGCAUGGUUGUCGUCAGCUCGUGCCGUGAGGUGUCGGCUUAAGUGCCAUAACGAGCGCAACCCUUGUUGUCAGUUACUAACAGGUUCCGCUGAGGACUCUGACAAGACUGCCAUCGUAAGAUGUGAGGAAGGUGGGGAUGACGUCAAAUCAGCACGGCCCUUACGUCCGGGGCUACACACGUGUUACAAUGGGGGGUACAGAGGGCCGCUACCACGCGAGUGGAUGCCAAUCCCCAAAACCUCUCUCAGUUCGGACUGGAGUCUGCAACCCGACUCCACGAAGCUGGAUUCGCUAGUAAUCGCGCAUCAGCCACGGCGCGGUGAAUACGUUCCCGGGCCUUGUACACACCGCCCGUCAAGCCAUGGGAGCCGGGGGUACCUGAAGUGCGUAACCGCGAGGAGCGCCCUAGGGUAAAACUGGUGACUGGGGCUAAGUCGUA